This 776-nucleotide ribosomal RNA is filed under the name uncultured Neocallimastigales. RNAcentral describes it as "partial large subunit ribosomal RNA". It matches the Rfam family "Eukaryotic large subunit ribosomal RNA", at positions 22 to 649 of the family's 3401-position model. Lineage: Eukaryota; Fungi; Neocallimastigomycota; Neocallimastigomycetes; Neocallimastigales. The record is from RNAcentral.
GUACACGCUGUGACUAGCAUAUCAAUAAGCGGAGGAAAAGAAACUAACAAGGAUUCCCUCAGUAACGGCGAGUGAAGCGGGAAGAGCUCAAAUUUGAAAUCUUGAAAGGUCACCUUUCACGAAUUGUAGUUUAAAGAAGUGUUUUCUGUUACGAUCGUAAUAUAAGUUCUUUGGAAUAGGACAUCACAGAGGGUGAGAAUCCCGUCUAUGAUUGCGAUUUGUAGCUUUGUGAUACACUUUCAAAGAGUCGGGUUGUUUGGGAAUGCAGCCCAAAACGGGAGGUAAAUUUCUUCUAAGGCUAAAUAUUGGCGAGAGACCGAUAGCGAACAAGUACCGUGAGGGAAAGAUGAAAAGAACUUUGAAAAGAGAGUUAAACUAGUACGUGAAAUUGUCAAAAGGGAAGCGUUUGACACCAGUGUUGUUUUCUCGAAAAUCAAUUAAAAAUGGCUCGAUUUUGUAUUGCUUGAGACCUUAAAAGCUCACUGUACAUUUUUCGUGUCUUUUUUAAUGCACUUUUCGUUUAACAAGUCAACAUCAGUUUCUUUUGUUGUAAAAGGGUCAUUGGAAGGUGGCUUUCUUUUCGGAGAAAGUGUUUAUAGCCUUUGGCCUCUGCAAUCGAAGAGACUGAGGUCUGCAGCGUAGACUCUUCGGGGUUAGAUACAUUUGUGCUAAGUUAUAGCUUUUUAUAGACAACUUGUUGACUAUAAUUAGUCUUGUAGCUUACUCGCUUAUGCUAUUUUACCUACGCUUAGGAUGUUGAGUAGCGACAUACGCAC